GAUGACAGAUUUUCACAUUUCUUUAUUUAGUUAACUAUUAAAUAAGUAAAACAUUACAUUACAUUUAACCCAGCUUCUUUAUGUAACGUUAUGUCUGUGUUGCGUGUGGUAAUUGGAACAUCUUUAUUUUCUGACUAACGUUAGGCAUUUCUCUUAAGCAUUUCAGAAAUCAUUAAAACCUUUCAUUUUUUUUAGCACAGCGACAUAAAUAUGACCAACCAGAUCCCAAGUAGACAGGAACAAAUGAAGAUAUAGCGCAUAGAAAGACUUAUUCUUGGUGAUCAACUGCUAUUGACAUUUUUGAAUCGGGGCAAAUGUGGAGUGAAGAAAAACGUUUGCAACACAUCCAUUCCAGAGUGCUCUGACAGAUAAAACUGACACGCUUGAUGAGGACACAGUCAAGCUUUAAAAGCCCGUGUGAUAAAGCAGUCUUCAAUUACUACGGUGUCUGAAUUGCAAGAAGAAGUCACCCUCCACUUAAACAUGUGACAUCUAAACUGUUUUGUGUUUUAGUUCAGCUUUUUAUAGGUUUAUCUUAAGUUGGUUAAAGGCAGAGUGCACUAUUUUUGAAAGCCAAUGUUAACAUUUGAAAUUACCUAAACAAACAUGCCUCUACCCCAAUAGAAUCUGGACCUUCUUUUGAUAGAGCCACCACACACAUACGCAAUCCCGGCAAGGAUGUCAGUUAGUAGACACGCCCCUUACUGCUGGUUGGCUACAAGUGUGUUUUGGUAGUCGGCCCAAUUUCCUUUUCCAAAGCGUUUUUCAAACAUUGUGCACUCCGUCUUUAAAUUGCACUUAAACAUUUUUUUUCAGUAACUUUUUAUGCAGAGAAUUACAUUAUGAUUAUUAUAUAAUCAUUGCUUAUGAAUAUUCAGUGAUUGCAUAUUCAUAGUGUACUUUUCAUUAAU
Paramisgurnus dabryanus is the source of this 911-nucleotide long non-coding RNA. RefSeq lists it as uncharacterized. Lineage: Eukaryota; Metazoa; Chordata; Actinopteri; Cypriniformes; Cobitidae. The record is from RefSeq and is a predicted model, not a curated record.